GUGGAGAUGGCUCAGUGGUUAAGAGCAUAGGCUGCUAUCCCUGAGGACCCAGGUUCAAUUCCUAGUAUCAACA
Molecule: transfer RNA, 73 nt
Filed under: Rattus norvegicus (Norway rat)
Lineage: Eukaryota; Metazoa; Chordata; Mammalia; Rodentia; Muridae
Rfam family: tRNA
About the family: Transfer RNA (tRNA) molecules are approximately 80 nucleotides in length. Their secondary structure includes four short double-helical elements and three loops (D, anti-codon, and T loops).
Source: Rfam by way of RNAcentral